Molecule: transfer RNA, 85 nt
Filed under: Cyanobacteria bacterium FACHB-472
Lineage: Bacteria; Bacillati; Cyanobacteriota
Also listed under: 11 other names
Description: tRNA-Ser
Rfam family: tRNA
About the family: Transfer RNA (tRNA) molecules are approximately 80 nucleotides in length. Their secondary structure includes four short double-helical elements and three loops (D, anti-codon, and T loops).
Source: RNAcentral
GGAGAGGUGGCAGAGUGGUCUAAUGCGCUCGACUUGAAAUCGAGUGAACCGAAAGGUUCCGAGAGUUCGAAUCCCUCCCUCUCCG